This 235-nucleotide ribosomal RNA is filed under the name uncultured bacterium. Its description in RNAcentral is "partial 16S ribosomal RNA". It matches the Rfam family "Bacterial small subunit ribosomal RNA", at positions 524 to 751 of the family's 1533-position model. The record is from RNAcentral.
UACAGAGGGUGCAAGCGUUGUUCGGAAUUAUUGGGCGUAAAGCGCGUGUAGGCGGCUUUGCAAGUCGGGUGUGAAAGCCCUCAGCUCAACUGAGGAAGUGCGCCCGAAACUGCAGAGCUUGAGUGCCGGGAGAGGGUGGCGGAAUUCCCCAAGUAGAGGUGAAAAUUCGUAGAUAUGGGGGAGGAACACCGGUGGCGAAGGCGGCCGCCUGGGACGGUAACUUGGACGGCCAUGG